Molecule: ribosomal RNA, 399 nt
Filed under: uncultured bacterium
Lineage: Bacteria
Description: bacterial SSU rRNA
Rfam family: Bacterial small subunit ribosomal RNA
Source: RNAcentral
CAUUUGGAUGGGCGAAGCCUGACCGCCUGCCGCGUGUGUGAAGAAGGUCUUCGGAUUGUAAAGCACUUUAAGUUGGGAGGAAGGGCAUUAACCUAAUACGUUAGUGUUUUGACGUUACCGACAGAAUAAGCACCGGCUAACUCUGUGCCAGCAGCCGCGGUAAUACAGAGGGUGCAAGCGUUAAUCGGAAUUACUGGGCGUAAAGCGCGCGUAGGUGGUUUGUUAAGUUGGAUGUGAAAUCCCCGGGCUCAACCUGGGAACUGCAUUCAAAACUGACUGACUAGAGUAUGGUAGAGGGUGGUGGAAUUUCCUGUGUAGCGGUGAAAUGCGGAGAUAUAGGAAGGAACACCAGUGGCGAAGGCGACCACCUGGACUAAUACUGACACUGAGGUGCGAAAG